Molecule: ribosomal RNA, 569 nt
Filed under: Clonostachys sp. Sigrf11
Lineage: Eukaryota; Fungi; Ascomycota; Sordariomycetes; Hypocreales; Bionectriaceae
Description: eukaryotic LSU rRNA
Rfam family: 5.8S ribosomal RNA (bases 191-344)
Source: RNAcentral
UUUCCGUAGGGGUAACCUGCGGAGGGAUCAUUACCGAGUUUACAACUCCCAAACCCAUGUGAACAUACCUACUGUUGCUUCGGCGGGAUUGCCCCGGGCGCCUCGUGUGCCCCGGAUCAGGCGCCCGCCUAGGAAACUCAACUCUUGUUUUAUUUUGGAAUCUUCUGAGUAGUUUUUACAAAUAAAUAAAAACUUUCAACAACGGAUCUCUUGGUUCUGGCAUCGAUGAAGAACGCAGCGAAAUGCGAUAAGUAAUGUGAAUUGCAGAAUUCAGUGAAUCAUCGAAUCUUUGAACGCACAUUGCGCCCGCCAGUAUUCUGGCGGGCAUGCCUGUCUGAGCGUCAUUUCAACCCUCAUGCCCCUAGGGCGUGGUGUUGGGGAUCGGCCAAAGCCCGCGAGGGACGGCCGGCCCCUAAAUCUAGUGGCGGACCCGUCGUGGCCUCCCCUGCGAAGUAGUGAUAUUCCGCAUCGGAGAGCGACGAGCCCCUGCCGUUAAACCCCCAACUUUCCAAGGUUGACCUCAGAUCAGGUAGGAAUACCCGCUGAACUUAAGCAUAUCAAAAGCCCGA